CAGCAGUCGCCGCGGGAAUACGAAGGGGGCUAGCGUUGUUCGGAUUUACUGGGCGUAAAGCGCACGUAGGCGGACUUUUAAGUCAGGGGUGAAAUCCCGGGGCUCAACCCCGGAACUGCCUUUGAUACUGGAAGUCUUGAGUAUGGUAGAGGUGAGUGGAAUUCCGAGUGUAGAGGUGAAAUUCGUAGAUAUUCGGAGGAACACCAGUGGCGAAGGCGGCUCACUGGACCAUUACUGACGCUGAGGUGCGAAAGCGUGGGGAGCAAACAGGAUUAGAUACCCGCGUAGUCCCUGUCUCUUAUAC
This 304-nucleotide ribosomal RNA is filed under the name uncultured bacterium. Its description in RNAcentral is "partial 16S ribosomal RNA". It matches the Rfam family "Bacterial small subunit ribosomal RNA", at positions 509 to 807 of the family's 1533-position model. The record is from RNAcentral.